UCCGAUAUGGUGUAGUGGUUAACAUCCCGCGUUUUCACCGCGGAGCCCGGGGUUCAAUUCCCCGUAUCGGAG
This 72-nucleotide transfer RNA is filed under the name Cytospora mali. RNAcentral's name for it is "tRNA-Glu (TTC) (tRNA-Glu-TTC-1-1)". It matches the Rfam family "tRNA". From Rfam's summary of the family: Transfer RNA (tRNA) molecules are approximately 80 nucleotides in length. The record is from RNAcentral. Lineage: Eukaryota; Fungi; Ascomycota; Sordariomycetes; Diaporthales; Cytosporaceae.